RNAcentral lists this ribosomal RNA (277 nucleotides) under uncultured alpha proteobacterium B2M72. Its description in RNAcentral is "partial 16S ribosomal RNA". It matches the Rfam family "Bacterial small subunit ribosomal RNA", at positions 1107 to 1405 of the family's 1533-position model. Lineage: Bacteria; Pseudomonadati; Pseudomonadota; Alphaproteobacteria. The record is from RNAcentral.
AUCUUUAGUUGCCAGCAGGUUAAGCUGGGCACUCUAAAGAAACUGCCCGUGAUAAGCGGGAGGAAGGUGUGGAUGACGUCAAGUCCUCAUGGCCCUUACGGGUUGGGCUACACACGUGCUACAAUGGUAGUGACAAUGGGUUAAUCCCAAAAAACUAUCUCAGUUCGGAUUGGGGUCUGCAACUCGACCCCAUGAAGUCGGAAUCGCUAGUAAUCGCGUAACAGCAUGACGCGGUGAAUACGUUCCCGGGCCUUGUACACACCGCCUGUCACACCAU